This 2900-nucleotide ribosomal RNA is filed under the name Shigella flexneri K-404. RNAcentral describes it as "bacterial LSU rRNA". It matches the Rfam family "Bacterial large subunit ribosomal RNA". Lineage: Bacteria; Pseudomonadati; Pseudomonadota; Gammaproteobacteria; Enterobacterales; Enterobacteriaceae. The record is from RNAcentral.
UAAGCGACUAAGCGUACACGGUGGAUGCCCUGGCAGUCAGAGGCGAUGAAGGACGUGCUAAUCUGCGAUAAGCGUCGGUAAGGUGAUAUGAACCGUUAUAACCGGCGAUUUCCGAAUGGGGAAACCCAGUGUGAUUCGUCACACUAUCAUUAACUGAAUCCAUAGGUUAAUGAGGCGAACCGGGGGAACUGAAACAUCUAAGUACCCCGAGGAAAAGAAAUCAACCGAGAUUCCCCCAGUAGCGGCGAGCGAACGGGGAGCAGCCCAGAGCCUGAAUCAGUGUGUGUGUUAGUGGAAGCGUCUGGAAAGGCGUGCGAUACAGGGUGACAGCCCCGUACACAAAAAUGCACAUACUGUGAGCUCGAUGAGUAGGGCGGGACACGUGGUAUCCUGUCUGAAUAUGGGGGGACCAUCCUCCAAGGCUAAAUACUCCUGACUGACCGAUAGUGAACCAGUACCGUGAGGGAAAGGCGAAAAGAACCCCGGCGAGGGGAGUGAAAAAGAACCUGAAACCGUGUACGUACAAGCAGUGGGAGCACGCUUAGGCGUGUGACUGCGUACCUUUUGUAUAAUGGGUCAGCGACUUAUAUUCUGUAGCAAGGUUAACCGAAUAGGGGAGCCGAAGGGAAACCGAGUCUUAACUGGGCGUUAAGUUGCAGGGUAUAGACCCGAAACCCGGUGAUCUAGCCAUGGGCAGGUUGAAGGUUGGGUAACACUAACUGGAGGACCGAACCGACUAAUGUUGAAAAAUUAGCGGAUGACUUGUGGCUGGGGGUGAAAGGCCAAUCAAACCGGGAGAUAGCUGGUUCUCCCCGAAAGCUAUUUAGGUAGCGCCUCGUGAAUUCAUCUCCGGGGGUAGAGCACUGUUUCGGCAAGGGGGUCAUCCCGACUUACCAACCCGAUGCAAACUGCGAAUACCGGAGAAUGUUAUCACGGGAGACACACGGCGGGUGCUAACGUCCGUCGUGAAGAGGGAAACAACCCAGACCGCCAGCUAAGGUCCCAAAGUCAUGGUUAAGUGGGAAACGAUGUGGGAAGGCCCAGACAGCCAGGAUGUUGGCUUAGAAGCAGCCAUCAUUUAAAGAAAGCGUAAUAGCUCACUGGUCGAGUCGGCCUGCGCGGAAGAUGUAACGGGGCUAAACCAUGCACCGAAGCUGCGGCAGCGACGCUUAUGCGUUGUUGGGUAGGGGAGCGUUCUGUAAGCCUGUGAAGGUGUGCUGUGAGGUAUGCUGGAGGUAUCAGAAGUGCGAAUGCUGACAUAAGUAACGAUAAAGCGGGUGAAAAGCCCGCUCGCCGGAAGACCAAGGGUUCCUGUCCAACGUUAAUCGGGGCAGGGUGAGUCGACCCCUAAGGCGAGGCCGAAAGGCGUAGUCGAUGGGAAACAGGUUAAUAUUCCUGUACUUGGUGUUACUGCGAAGGGGGGACGGAGAAGGCUAUGUUGGCCGGGCGACGGUUGUCCCGGUUUAAGCGUGUAGGCUGGUUUUCCAGGCAAAUCCGGAAAAUCAAGGCCGAGGCGUGAUGACGAGGCACUACGGUGCUGAAGCAACAAAUGCCCUGCUUCCAGGAAAAGCCUCUAAGCAUCAGGUAACAUCAAAUCGUACCCCAAACCGACACAGGUGGUCAGGUAGAGAAUACCAAGGCGCUUGAGAGAACUCGGGUGAAGGAACUAGGCAAAAUGGUGCCGUAACUUCGGGAGAAGGCACGCUGAUACGUAGGUGAAGCGACUUGCUCGUGGAGCUGAAAUCAGUCGAAGAUACCAGCUGGCUGCAACUGUUUAUUAAAAACACAGCACUGUGCAAACACGAAAGUGGACGUAUACGGUGUGACGCCUGCCCGGUGCCGGAAGGUUAAUUGAUGGGGUUAGCGCAAGCGAAGCUCUUGAUCGAAGCCCCGGUAAACGGCGGCCGUAACUAUAACGGUCCUAAGGUAGCGAAAUUCCUUGUCGGGUAAGUUCCGACCUGCACGAAUGGCGUAAUGAUGGCCAGGCUGUCUCCACCCGAGACUCAGUGAAAUUGAACUCGCUGUGAAGAUGCAGUGUACCCGCGGCAAGACGGAAAGACCCCGUGAACCUUUACUAUAGCUUGACACUGAACAUUGAGCCUUGAUGUGUAGGAUAGGUGGGAGGCUUUGAAGUGUGGACGCCAGUCUGCAUGGAGCCGACCUUGAAAUACCACCCUUUAAUGUUUGAUGUUCUAACGUGGACCCGUGAUCCGGGUUGCGGACAGUGUCUGGUGGGUAGUUUGACUGGGGCGGUCUCCUCCUAAAGAGUAACGGAGGAGCACGAAGGUUGGCUAAUCCUGGUCGGACAUCAGGAGGUUAGUGCAAUGGCAUAAGCCAGCUUGACUGCGAGCGUGACGGCGCGAGCAGGUGCGAAAGCAGGUCAUAGUGAUCCGGUGGUUCUGAAUGGAAGGGCCAUCGCUCAACGGAUAAAAGGUACUCCGGGGAUAACAGGCUGAUACCGCCCAAGAGUUCAUAUCGACGGCGGUGUUUGGCACCUCGAUGUCGGCUCAUCACAUCCUGGGGCUGAAGUAGGUCCCAAGGGUAUGGCUGUUCGCCAUUUAAAGUGGUACGCGAGCUGGGUUUAGAACGUCGUGAGACAGUUCGGUCCCUAUCUGCCGUGGGCGCUGGAGAACUGAGGGGGGCUGCUCCUAGUACGAGAGGACCGGAGUGGACGCAUCACUGGUGUUCGGGUUGUCAUGCCAAUGGCACUGCCCGGUAGCUAAAUGCGGAAGAGAUAAGUGCUGAAAGCAUCUAAGCACGAAACUUGCCCCGAGAUGAGUUCUCCCUGACCCUUUAAGGGUCCUGAAGGAACGUUGAAGACGACGACGUUGAUAGGCCGGGUGUGUAAGCGCAGCGAUGCGUUGAGCUAACCGGUACUAAUGAACCGUGAGGCUUAACCU